CUUGCCACAACUGGAUAAGGAUCAAAAAAUCUGCUGCUAGAAUAUUCAAUGAAACGAUUUUGAAAAAUUAAAGAAGAGUUUAGAGAAAAAUGACUGCAUGGUGAAGGACAAGUGCAUAGUCAUGCUGUUGAAGAUUGUUCUUGACCUUUGAAGAUACUUGAAGUUCAUUGAAAAGGAACGCUUACUAGUUUCAGCUUGUACUAAGCUAAUAAAGCCACUUCAGUACAAUAAGUCUAAUUCAAUAAAAUGGUCAUUUCCAUUGUUCCUAAAACUGAAAAAGAAUUGACAGCAGUAACAUUCAGC
Cygnus olor (mute swan) is the source of this 303-nucleotide long non-coding RNA. RefSeq lists it as uncharacterized. NCBI's taxonomy places the organism in Eukaryota, Metazoa, Chordata, Aves, Anseriformes, Anatidae. The transcript is spliced from 3 exons. The record is from RefSeq and is a predicted model, not a curated record.